CGGCCGAUGAUGCUAGACAUGCUCCUACGGUUCAGACCUAUGGGGAGGAUUUCCUACGCAUAUUUCCCAAGAGCUGAGGCCC
Molecule: small nucleolar RNA, 82 nt
Filed under: Leersia perrieri
Lineage: Eukaryota; Viridiplantae; Streptophyta; Magnoliopsida; Poales; Poaceae
Description: Small nucleolar RNA Z168/Z174
Rfam family: Small nucleolar RNA Z168/Z174
About the family: This family consists of several snoRNA Z168 and Z174 sequences which are members of the C/D class of snoRNA which contain the C (UGAUGA) and D (CUGA) box motifs. This family seems to be found exclusively in rice.
Source: Rfam by way of RNAcentral